This 422-nucleotide ribosomal RNA is filed under the name uncultured bacterium. RNAcentral's name for it is "bacterial SSU rRNA". It matches the Rfam family "Bacterial small subunit ribosomal RNA", at positions 358 to 772 of the family's 1533-position model. The record is from RNAcentral.
GGGAUAUUGGACAAUGGGCGCAAGCCUGAUCCAGCCAUGCCGCGUGUGUGAAGAAGGCCUUCGGGUUGUAAAGCACUUUUGUUGGGGAAGAAAAGACCGUGGUUAAUAACCGUGGUUCAUGACGGUACCCAAAGAAUAAGCACCGGCUAACUUCGUGCCAGCAGCCGCGGUAAUACGAAGGGUGCAAGCGUUACCCGGAAUUACUGGGCGUAAAGCGUGCGUAGGUGGUUCGUUAAGUCUGCCGUGAAAGCCCCGGGCUCAACCUGGGAAUUGCGGUGGAUACUGGCGGACUAGAGUGCGGUAGAGGGUGGUGGAAUUCCCGGUGUAGCAGUGAAAUGCGUAGAGAUCGGGAGGAACAUCUGUGGCGAAGGCGGCCACCUGGACCAGCACUGACACUGAGGCACGAAAGCGUGGGGAGCAAA